CGAGAUCCGCGAGGAGGGGCUGCUCCCGUGCCCGGGAGGCAUCGGGGGAGGAUCGCUGGUCAGCCACACAAUGAAAAGCUCCCCGGUGGCCACUCGUUCAGCCCGGGGGGCGGAGGGAGGGCGAAGGCGAGAGGCGUGAGCUCCCCUCUCGCCCAAAGCCACGGUCAGCGGCCGCCUCCCCAAGGCGCCGGGCGGCCUGACCCCGGCCUCGGCCUCCGGGCGCCCGGUCACAGGGCAAGGGGCCCGAGGAAAGCAGAUUUCUCUCGGAAAGAAAGGAAACUUCCUGGUUUGAGCAUUAUGGGUAGGGGGCUAGCGCCCUCCCCCACCCACUACAGGGCAGCGCCAGCCACGGCAUGUCCCGCACGAAGUCCUGCCACUGCCGCUGGUCCUGGUCCGAGGACACGAAGACGAUCUCCAGGCGGCGCCGCGGCUCGGGCUCCGCCGCCGCCCCCGGCCCCCGGCCCCGGCCCCGGCCCGGCCCCGGCCCCCGGCCCGGCCGCCGCGUCCCCCCCGCAGGCGGCCGUAGAAGGCGGCCAGGCUGGCGCUGAGCUGCGCGCAGGGGGCGCUCAGGCUGCAGCCGAAGUAGAGCCCGAGCAGCGAGAUGCCGCGGGCGCCCAGCGAGUGCACAUCCACCUCCUCGCCGCCGCCCGUCACCAGCUUCUCGCCGAGCAGCUCCUCCAGGAAGCCCGACAUCCUGGCCCACCGCAGCCCCGGCACGCGGGCGGGCAGGCGGCGGCGACCCCGCUCCCUUGGUCCGCGCGGCGGGCGGGUGGAGGCGGCGGCUGCGGCGGCGGCGGGGCGCGGGUGAGAGGAGAGCCCCGCCCACGCGGCCCCGCCCACGCCACGCCCCUCCGGCCCGCCCUCGCCACGCCCCCUCGGUGGCCGUCCCGGGCCGCGCGGCCGCCUGGGCACAGUCCGCAGCAGCUGGCGCGCGGGGCGCGGGCUUCCACCGCGUGGCCAAAGCGCUCGGGAGACAGCCCCGGCGAGAAAGCUGGCCCGAAACGCUCCGCUCUGAUGGAACGCCCGCGGCCUAAGCGAAGAAAGGAGAAGGGUCCGCCGAGCCGGCCUUUCCGAGGCUGCGGUCCGCGCGGAGCUGGACUUGGCCUCGCCCUUCCCUCCGUUUCCUCUCCCCUCCCGAAUUCUAAAUUCUAGCCCAACUUCUCCAGAUAUUCCCACAGUCGUCCCCCGCGAGUUCUUUUACCCCUUCUUGCUGUUUCCCCUCCUUCUCUCUGUCCCCCUACGCAAAGAGUAACACUUGGUCCAUUUCGUACCCCACUGACCCCUCUUUAAUGCCUACAGGACUUACCAUCUUCACCGCACAGUUAUCACUUUAUCAGGCUGGCACUUAUUUCUCUGUUUGUGUGUUUUGUGUUCUCUAGUGUAAAAGGAUUGGAGGAUGCCACCUCCUGUUUUUCGUGUGGCUUCCGAUCUGGUGCUAGGCACAGGUGAAGGAAUCCGUAAAUACUUGUGGGUUGAUCGCAGGUCGCGCUGUGGAUUUUAGUCCACAGGUGGCGGCGGCCAUUCCCCACCAGCGAGUGGCUCUCGUCCAUCUCCACGAAUGUAUGCAACAGAUGCCGCGGCAUCUCUAGAUCAAUGCUGGCUGCUCUCCUGAAUCGGUUCCAUAGCUUAUAUCAAGUCUUGAUAGUUGGGAAAAAUACUAGGGACUUUUCUUGCCAGCUGGCAAGAUGCUACCCUAUGCCUAGGAAGAACCUGGAUUAAACAGGUGGCCUGUGGCAAGUUUUCCGGCCUCACACACACACACACAGGAAAAAAUAAAAUGUAUACUAUGCCCACCCGCAA
Molecule: long non-coding RNA, 1800 nt
Organism: Equus asinus (donkey)
Lineage: Eukaryota; Metazoa; Chordata; Mammalia; Perissodactyla; Equidae
Source: Ensembl